Molecule: ribosomal RNA, 449 nt
Filed under: uncultured bacterium
Lineage: Bacteria
Description: partial 16S ribosomal RNA
Rfam family: Bacterial small subunit ribosomal RNA
Source: RNAcentral
AACGAACGCUGGCGGCAUGCCUAACACAUGCAAGUCGAACGAUAUCUUCGGGUCUAGUGGCGCACGGGUGCGUAACGCGUGGGAAUCUGCCCUUUGGUUCGGAAUAACAGUUGGAAACGACUGCUAAUACCGGAUGAUGACGAAAGUCCAAAGAUUUAUCGCCAGAGGAUGAGCCCGCGUAGGAUUAGCUAGUUGGUGUGGUAAAGGCGCGCCAAGGCGACGAUCCUUAGCUGGUCUGAGAGGAUGAUCAGCCACACUGGGACUGAGACACGGCCGAGACUCCUACGGGAGGCAGCAGUGGGGAAUAUUGGACAAUGGGCGAAAGCCUGAUCCAGCGAUGCCGCGUGAGUGAUGAAGGCCUUAGGGUUGUAAAGCUCUUUUACCCGGGAUGAUAAUGACAGUACCGGGAGAAUAAGCUCCGGCUAACUCCGUGCCAGCCGCCGCAGUAA